RNAcentral lists this long non-coding RNA (280 nucleotides) under Prunus persica (peach). Its description in RNAcentral is "long non-coding RNA (PPER_LNC006356)". The record is from RNAcentral. Lineage: Eukaryota; Viridiplantae; Streptophyta; Magnoliopsida; Rosales; Rosaceae.
UUAAACAGUGUGCAAUAAAAAUCAUACAUCGUUGUACACUAAUCUUUGUUUGGAUCAUUGAUUACUGGAUUAGUGUGUUGGUGUGUACGUAUAUGCAAGCCCAUUCGUAGGAAAUUUUUUGAGUACAAAAAUAACACUGUCACGUAAUUUUAUCGUUUGAAUAUAAAGGUAGCAUAAUCUCGCAGAGGCUAUAAGUUCAUGUUUAGGAAUUUAAGGUAUAGGAUCUCAAUGAUUUACAGGCCUAUACAAGCCCAAACUCAAUACAAAUUCGAGCUAUAUG